Molecule: RNA transcript, 504 nt
Organism: Cercocebus atys (sooty mangabey)
Lineage: Eukaryota; Metazoa; Chordata; Mammalia; Primates; Cercopithecidae
Gene name: Ig heavy chain V-III region VH26-like
Exons: 2
Source: RefSeq, a predicted model, not a curated record
UUGGUGAUCAGCCCUGAACACAGAUCGCCAACCAUGGAGUUUGGACUGAGCUUGGUUUUCCUUGUUGCUAUUUUAGAAGGUGUCCAGUGUGAGGUGCAGCUGGUAGAGUCUGGGGGAGGCUUGGUACAGCCUGGCCGGUCCCUGAGACUCUCCUGUGCAGCCUCUGGAUUCACUUUCAGUAGUUAUGGCAUGCACUGGGUCUGCCAGGCUCCGGAAAAGGGGCUGGAGUGGGUUUCAUACAUUGGUAGUAGUACCAUGUACUACGCAGGCUCCGUGAAGGGCCGAUUCACCAUCUCCAGAGACAAUGCCAAGAACUCGCUGUAUCUGCAAAUGAACAGCCUGAGAGCUGAGGACACGGCUGUGUAUUACUGUGGGAGGACAUGGUGAGGGGAAGUCAGUGUGAGCCCAGACACAAACCUCCCUGCAAUGAUCCCCGGGACCAUCAGGGGGCACCCGGGAUACUGUGCUCGGGGCUGUCUCCAGGCCCAGUGCAGGUGCUGCUAA